UCUCUGUCGGAGGGGGAAACUGCACCUCUGUGUUUCUGACCACUGGGAGUGGUUAUGUGGCUUCUGGGAUCACCGCCAGAGCUCCGGGCUGAGCUUCUGCCACUUGAGACCCUGCUGCCGUCGCCGGAGAACUCUGCCGUUUUUUUAUAGUUGAUCCACCGAAGCUUCUGGCCGCUGCCGGAGCUGUUGUCGGGGCCGGUUCGAAAUCGCAACUGUUUCGUGUUGUUAUUCCGUGUUGCUAUGGUUAUUGCGAACGUGACUGGGAGCU
Molecule: non-coding RNA, 268 nt
Organism: Arachis ipaensis
Lineage: Eukaryota; Viridiplantae; Streptophyta; Magnoliopsida; Fabales; Fabaceae
Source: RefSeq, a predicted model, not a curated record